AUCACCCCGCAUGUUGCGCACACGCUCGGCCGCGCCAUGAAGCUGCUCGGCCCCUCCGCACUCACCGCGAUCCUCCUCCUCCUGCUCCUCGGCCUCCACACGGCGCAGCCCGGGCGGCAGAGGCCGCGGAAGGUUGUAAAGAAACCUGGAUAUUGCCCAGAGUUUUCACUUGGCUGCCCUUUCGUCCUCUUACCUCUGUGCUGGCGCGACAGAGGUUGCAAGGGGGACAAGAAGUGUUGCUUCUACAACUGCAGGCAGCAGUGUAUGGAGCCGUGGCUCAGCUUGGAAUGAGCUUGUAAUAAUGAGUCACUUUCCUCUCCACAUUUAAACUGUCAGGUAGAAACCCCUUCUUAACCAGACCUGAGAAGACCCAUCGGACAGGCUCAGACUUGGAUAACUGAUCCCCAGUUCCUCCGUGCUCUCUCCUCACUGCCCACACUUUCUUUUAUCAAGAGUUUAAUGCUUAUUAACAUGAAAACAACACAAAGAAAUAAAGUUAUAUAUUUAAAACUA
Long non-coding RNA from Leptonychotes weddellii (Weddell seal), 513 nucleotides. RefSeq lists it as uncharacterized. The record is from RefSeq and is a predicted model, not a curated record. NCBI's taxonomy places the organism in Eukaryota, Metazoa, Chordata, Mammalia, Carnivora, Phocidae.